Molecule: long non-coding RNA, 578 nt
Organism: Phragmites australis (common reed)
Lineage: Eukaryota; Viridiplantae; Streptophyta; Magnoliopsida; Poales; Poaceae
Exons: 2
Source: RefSeq, a predicted model, not a curated record
CUCUCAUCCACUCAUCGUUCUGCUCUUAUCCGCUCAACUCUUAUCUGCUCCACUCAUCCACUGGAGCUCUACCGUCCGUCUGCUCGUCGAGCGCACCUGCUAGCAUGGAUCCCAGAAGUAGGCCUCCAAGCUCCGGCAACAGCAUAUGAGCACAGGAGCACGUCCGGCAAUAGCAGAUCCUCCUGGCCACGGGCGCAGAUCCUUGGCUGCAUCGAUAGCGCGCUCGGCACGGUGCGCGGCUUCGCCACCGCUACCGGCGAUGACAAGAAGCGCAAGUCGGAGAACGGGCCAACCUCUCGGCUUCCAACGACGUCCAAAAGAAGGGACACACAUGUGGCCGUGGUGGACAACAGGUUCGUGUCAUAGCCUUUCCUGAUCAGCUUCACAGCAACAACAAGGCGUAGCUUCGUGUUUGAUUUGAUUUGAUUGUGAGAUGAGUCAUCUUGUGUUCAAUUUGAUUGUGAGAUGAGUCGAUUUAUUCGAUUUGAUUGUGAGAUGAGUUUGUGUGGAUAAGAUAGUUGAUCUGUUCUUGUAUGGAUUUGUUCGUGAGUAUGUAUUGAUUUGAUUAUGUGUUCGUA